This 1064-nucleotide long non-coding RNA is filed under the name Olea europaea subsp. europaea. Lineage: Eukaryota; Viridiplantae; Streptophyta; Magnoliopsida; Lamiales; Oleaceae. The record is from RNAcentral.
AAAAUUCUCUUCAGAAGUUCUGUGCUCUAUCUAUUUCUUAGCUUUUUCUUAUCCGAUAUCAAAGCCUUACAAUGACAGAUGAUCAACUACUCUUCCAAACACAAAUCCAAAUCCACCUCUGAACACAAAUCUAAACACAAACCCAAAUCUAAAUCCACCUGAAAACUCUCCUAAUCCUACUCAGCUAGCUAGUCCAUAUACAUCGGGACAAAUGAUGGAACAGGGGCCAUGUUGGUGACUUAUAGCUUGGAAGCAAACAAUUACUAUUCAUGGACCAGAUCGAUGAGAAUGGCUCUUAGAAUCAAGAACAAACUGGGGUUCAUUGAUGGCACUCUUUGUAAACCUGCAGACCCGAAUGAUCCUUUAAUGAAACACUGGUUGAGAUGCAACGACAUAGCAAUCACUUGGAUGCAAAAUACCAUGGCUGUUGACUUCAAAUGUAGCACGGUGUAAGCAGAGAUUGCUCAUCAGCUAUUGCUGGAACUUAAGUAGAGGUUUGCUCAACAAAAUGCACCCGAAUCUAUGAAAUCAAGCAAGAUAUAACAACAUUAGUACAAAACCAAGAUACUGGAAGUGUUUAUUUUUCAAAAUUCAAAACUAUGUUGGAUGAACUACUGAAUUAUGAUUCCAUCUCUAAUUGUUCAUGUGGAGGUUUGAAAAUAGUAGUUCAAAACCAACAAUGUGAUUGGGUAAUAAGAUGGAUUAAAUGAAUCUUACAAAAUUAUUAAGGCUCAGAUUCUUUUGAUCGAAUCAGGUAUCCUUCAGGCAAUGAAUUAGAUGGGAAAGCCAGACCACCGUCAUCUGUUGCAAAUCAAGUUCUAUAAUCCUAGUUUCUGAUCAAGAGCAAGUGAGAGACAAAGCUCCGAUUUCAUUAAUUCAAGAACAAUAUGCCAUAGUUUUACCAUCCACCAACAGCUGUCACAACCCCCUUCGGCUAACAAUGUGUAAUCCUUUUUUACCAUCCUCUUCUAAUGUUGAAAUCACGAAGAUAUCUAGUAUAUCUCUAUGCCUCUUUGCUUAUGGAACCAAAUCUACUGAUCUUAAUGCCAUUUCUUGGAUCUUGG